ACAUAACAUUCUUAUUCUCUAAAAUCUAGUCACACAUGUUUUUUUGCAUGUGUGACUAGAUUUUAGAGAAUAAGAAUGUUAU
Molecule: microRNA precursor, 82 nt
Filed under: Marmota monax (woodchuck)
Lineage: Eukaryota; Metazoa; Chordata; Mammalia; Rodentia; Sciuridae
Source: RNAcentral